AGAUUGAACGCUGGCGGCAGGCCUAACACAUGCAAGUCGAGCGGCAGCACGGGUACUUGUACCUGGUGGCGAGCGGCGGACGGGUGAGUAAUGCCUAGGAAUCUGCCUGGUAGUGGGGGAUAACGCUCGGAAACGGACGCUAAUACCGCAUACGUCCUACGGGAGAAAGCAGGGGACCUUCGGGCCUUGCGCUAUCAGAUGAGCCUAGGUCGGAUUAGCUAGUUGGUGGGUAAUGGCUCACCAAGGCGACGAUCCGUAACUGGUCUGAGAGGAUGAUCAGUCACACUGGAACUGAGACACGGUCCAGACUCCUACGGGAGCAGCAGUGGGAAUAUUGGACAAUGGGACGAAAGCCUGAUCCAGCCAUGCCGCGUGUGUGAAGAAGGUCUUCGGAUUAGUAAAGCUAACUUUAAGGUUGGAGGAAGGCUAGUUACUAAUACGUAU
Molecule: ribosomal RNA, 444 nt
Filed under: uncultured soil bacterium
Lineage: Bacteria
Description: bacterial SSU rRNA
Rfam family: Bacterial small subunit ribosomal RNA
Source: RNAcentral